UGGGGUGGGGUGGGCAGCUGCGGCCCCGGCCGGCUGCUGAUCCGAGCGGAGAGCAGGAGAGAGUGAGGAGGCAGCUGGUGCGGGGGAGGAGCCGGACUCUUCCACCACCCAAGUCUCCUCUCGCUGCCGGCUGCCCUGGGGGAGGCGCCUUCCCUCUCUGCCGCAGGCUGCUUCUGGGUGCCAGCGCCACAGCGAAGUAUAAAUUCCCUCCCCUUGAAAGAUAUUCCCGGAGCUUCCUUUUCGAUGAUCUCAGCUUGGGGGACUGAACUCUUACGACACAGGUUCAGCAGAACUCCCGGGUGGAUUGCUUUUGCGUUAAGAAAACACGUCCCUGAGACCUGAAAGCGUGUCUGGGAGGCGCUAAGAGCCUCCUGAGUGGUGGGACUACAGGUGUGUGCCACCACACCCAGUGAAGUAAAUCUUAAAGGCGACGGUAACUCCAGUAGACGGGAGGACUCAGGCAUCCGGGCACCUGGCUCAAAAUAUUUCCCUGGUCUCACAUGUUCCAGCGCAUGUCACGUCACACUGGAGACGGCCGUCUCUCCGGGGGCCUCCCCGCAGACUUCAGGUGCGGGUGAGAGGAGGUGGGGGCGGGGUUUGGGCCAUGAUCCUGAAGGCAGACAGUAGCGGAGCCCCUAGGGCUUUGAUAAAUUUAUAAAACACAUCUUUUCU
Molecule: long non-coding RNA, 672 nt
Organism: Chinchilla lanigera (long-tailed chinchilla)
Lineage: Eukaryota; Metazoa; Chordata; Mammalia; Rodentia; Chinchillidae
Exons: 3
Source: RefSeq, a predicted model, not a curated record